GAAGCUAAAUUCUGCUUCUCCAUGUUUGGUUCUGGUGAUAGAAGACUGACUUUGUAACCCUCUUUAUGUGUCUCUGAAAGUUCAGGUCUGCGUUCAUCACCACACCCAGAUUUCUGGCCUGAUCAAUACCUUCCAGCUGUAAUAAAAACAGUGUCUGUGUGCUGACUUUAGAUAGUUCCUCUUUAGGUCCAAAGAUAAGAUCUUCAGUUUAGAGAAAAAUGAAAAACUAAAGGAACUGAUUUAGUUAAUUUAGCAGUAAUGCUGUAAACUUGUCAUUUGUAUCACUACAUCAUGUGCUGCUGAAACUCAUUUGUAUUGUUUCACAGGUAUUGUCAAAUGUUUUCCAAUAAUAAGAUUGGAACACAGAUGUGCAUUGUGGCCUUUAUAACACCUGACAGUGUCAGUUAUUUAAAAAAC
Molecule: long non-coding RNA, 417 nt
Organism: Xiphophorus couchianus (Monterrey platyfish)
Lineage: Eukaryota; Metazoa; Chordata; Actinopteri; Cyprinodontiformes; Poeciliidae
Exons: 2
Source: RefSeq, a predicted model, not a curated record